RNAcentral lists this unclassified non-coding RNA (337 nucleotides) under soil metagenome. RNAcentral's name for it is "partial contains 5.8S ribosomal RNA, internal transcribed spacer 2, and large subunit ribosomal RNA". The stretch from base 1 to 120 matches the Rfam family "5.8S ribosomal RNA", at positions 35 to 154 of the family's 154-position model. The record is from RNAcentral.
GAUGAAGAACGUAGCGAAAUGCGAUAAGUAGUGUGAAUUGCAGAAUUCAGUGAAUCAUCGAAUCUUUGAACGCACAUUGCGCCCCUUGGUAUUCCAUGGGGCAUGCCUGUUCGAGCGUCAUUUGUACCUUCAAGCUCUGCUUGGUGUUGGGUGUUUGUCUCGCCUCUGCGUGUAGACUCGCCUUAAAACAAUUGGCAGCCGGCGUAUUGAUUUCGGAGCGCAGUACAUCUCGCGCUUUGCACUCAUAACGACGACGUCCAAAAGUACAUUUUUACACUCUUGACCUCGGAUCAGGUAAGGAUACCCGCUGAACUUAAGCAUAUCAAUAAGCGGAGGA